RNAcentral lists this long non-coding RNA (5848 nucleotides) under Apis mellifera (honey bee). RNAcentral describes it as "uncharacterized LOC100576602, transcript variant X9". The record is from RNAcentral. Lineage: Eukaryota; Metazoa; Arthropoda; Insecta; Hymenoptera; Apidae.
GCGGCGAAGAGUACUCGAAGAGGCCAGCACGGCGGACGAGUGAAAGGUUAUCAUUAUCUCAUCAAGCGAGUAAUUACGAGAGAGAGAGAGAGACAAGGAACGAUGAAGAUGCAAGUAGGAAGAGGACGAAGGUAAAGAAAAUGAUCUAACUGUUAUCCGACUUAAUAACUCGGACGUGUUUAAACGUGGCUUCGUAAUGAUGGGUUGGCGCGAUUGCGCGACAUAAACUGGAUAAAAGGAUCCUUAUUGUUUAUCCGAGUAAUUAUAAUCUUAAUGAACGAAUAAUGGUAACGGGAUACCGACGAAUGGAAUGCUCGCAAAAACAGGCUAGAUCGCUUGUCGGACACUCGAACCUAUUAGGUUAAACCUCUACUCACGGGUACGAGGUUAACCUCGUGUCAAUUGCGAUUGAUCUAUUAAAUCAUAAGUGCCUCGCCUUCAUUAAUUACCUCGGUCGAGGUCGAUGAUCAAAGCAACUGUUUUCGUGUUCUUUCACGUGUCGAUGUUCAUUUAUUUUUAAUUAUCGAGUUUUGAUUCUAGAUUGAAUAAAUUUUAAAAUUACAUAAUUUAUAUACGUUUGCUAAUUGGAUUAAAUUAAUUGUCAGAUAAAAAUUAUAAUAUGAAAUACAAAAAAAAAAGUUUAAAAAACUUAACUUGAUUUAAUCUAAUUCUAAUAUCACGAAACUUUUAUCUCUUGUAAACCUUGAGACGCAAAAAUACUAGACAGAUCAUUCAUUUAUCAUUCAUCAUAUCAUAUCAUUUUUAGAAUUUUCGAUAGCACAUGUAGAUCAAUCGCAUAUAAUUAAUCGUGUUAUAGGAGUCGUAUCGUAAAUCAUGCAUAUUUCAUUCGAGAAGUUCGAGAAGAUUGCAAACUAUCUCAAACGUAGAAUAUCGAUCGCCAUAUUGUUUCUACAUCUUUGACAUUUCACGCAUGCGCACUUGAUACACUUGUGAAUUCUUCGAGCUAUAAUUUACGAUUACACAUUUCGAAUUUUUUUAUCGUAAGAUACGCGAUUCAAUUGUGAUUUUUUUUUCUCGUUUUCCUCUUUUUCAUUGUUAUAAAUUUACGGAUUACGUCUGAUUCGCCAAUAUGGAGUGCUUAAAUACCGCAAAUGUUCGAACUUUAACGAUAAAAUUGCUAUCUUCGUCUUCGAUCGGCCUCGUGUCGACGAUGUAAUAUCUACGAAAUAAACGCAGAUCUCCGUUUAAAUCGUCGAGUGGAAAGAAAUGGAUGUAUUAAGGGAUAGUAAAAAAGGGGCAUAAUUGCAAAUUUUAUCCAGGCUGAUAUAGUGGAAGAUUAUAGUCCGCGGUAUAGUUAAUCUCGGCCUAAUCAGGCUAUUACUAUCAUUACAGUCCAUUCGAUCUUAAGACUAAAAACCGUUUAAAACGGAAAAAUGUAUUAACGAUCCAUCCAAAGGAAAUGAUAUCGAUCGCGUGUUAAAAUAAAUUACUUUUCUUGUUUCGUGUUGAAAACCUCUGCUCUUUUAGGUUAGCUGCCUACACGAAUACUGGUUUCGAAGUGUCUCUGCUUACUUGAAAAUGUGUUUGUGUUCACGUACGUUUUUGAAUCCAAAUAUUAAUAAAUUUCCCAUCAGUAUGUUGGAUGUUUAACCAGAUAUUUCGACGAAUGGAUGAAAAUUAACUUCGAUCGUAAUAUUUGAAGAUUCACCUAUCAUUCACGAACGACAAAACGUUAUUUAAUAAUUAUAACCUCAAACAGAAAAAUUUAAUAAUUUUAACAUUUGUCCAACGUAUAAAUGUUUCCAUUCCAACAAGAUUCUUCAAUUAAAAGAAGAAAGACGAGGUCACCGUUAAAUUAUCGAACUCUCUCUUGUUUUUGUCGAAAAUCCUUCCAAUUUUCCUCGGCGGAAGCUGGUGGAAUAACUGGUGAAGAAGUGUUAUAAAAACCUUGGAGGAAGCGGAUCACGAUGGAAGGAAGGCACGGAUGGAUAAGAAAUAUAGGGAGAGGAAAGUAGAGAUAAAGCGAAUCGAGGCAUAAAAUGGCUCUCGGCUCUCUCGAAACUUGUCGAGUAAUGUAUUUCUAUUUGCCGACAUUGGCACCCAUGCGGCCGGCCCGUUCCAAGCGCAACCGACUCUUAUUUAUCCGUGGAACCGCCGACCAUGCGAGAGCCAACAAAUCAAAAUCGACAAAGGGAAGCUGUCGGCGCUUCGCUCGUGGCCGACGUGGUGAAGAGUGGCCCGAAGAAGAAACAUUUGUACGAGUAAAUCAACCGGGGAAUGGUACGUGCUUCCCGAACAAUGGAUACCUUGUCGGAGUGGGGGAGGGGGAAGGAGGGAAUUCCGCCAAGGAACGAACGCCUAAGAGGCCUGUUUAUUCCCGAUUGAUUAAAGGCGGAAAGCGGAGAGGAGCAGGAGAUCGCGUGAAAAAUGGAAUUGGGAUUACAGGCUGGAGAGAAGGAGAGAUGAAAUUUUUUUAACUAUUUUAAAAAAAAGUUAAUUGUCAAUUUAAUCGCUUCGAAAUGAACAUUUCGCUAUGAAACUCAGGAUUAUUAAGUAGAUGUAUUUUGAGAAUCGUGUAGAAUGUUUUUAGAAAGAGAUUGUUCUUUGUUAUUUAUAUUCUUUGGAUGUAUCCAUUUGAUACUCAAAUUUUAUAUAUUCAUUCAAAAGGAUAAAUUUAGCAAUAAAUAUAAUCUGCUCUUGUUAAUCUAAAAUCAGUGCAAAAAGAAAAAUUUCUAUUAUCAUUUAUUAUCAAUUUUCAAAAUUAUAGUCCAAGUAUCUACCAAAAGUCUGUGCAAAAGUUAAGAAUUAAUUUCUGUCUUAUUAAUUAUCAACCAUCCAAAAACAUUCAUGCACCAUUCAGUCCAAGAUCAGUUAUUGUGCAAAAAUUAAAAAAAACCUAAUUUUUUUUUUGUAAAUAAAGAAAAGGAUAUAUAACGCAUCGAAGGGAAAAAAAGAACAGAAAUGAGAGAAAGAGGAAGAGGAGGAAAGGGAGCAUUUGUUCAGACGGACGGAUGAAUAUGGCGGAGAGCGUGCAAGCUGUGGCGGAGGCUCGGUGUGGGCAGUACGGUAACCUUCCAGGACAAUGGGUAUCUUGUCGAAGGAUCUACGGGUUAGCGGCAAGAUAAUAGAACGCGGCAGUGUCCGAGGUGGUAGUAUAAACCUGGAUCGCAGAAGGUGGAGUCACCUGUAAAAUGUCGGCACAAUGCCCGACCACGUCACAGGUGUCUCGCGCCGUGAAAGUCCGCCAAGGGUGCGUCGUCAACCGGUGCCCACGUAUCCACGGGACAAUGAGUAAACAGCCGUUGGAUCGAUUGGACGCGUUGUAAUUGCCCCGCCCGAUCCGAUAUUAGUCGUUUAAUUUAUCGGCGACUCGCUCAUGGUUCGACCGAUCGACAUUUCAACUCUGGUAAUUUUAAUCCAAGAUCUCUGAAUUCCUGAGCGAGCUGCAUAAGAUACUUAUAAUUUUCUCAAUAAAAGAAGCUUAAGGAUUGAUCAUCAACGAUUUGGAGCGUAUUAAUCUUUUAAUUGCAGUUUAUAAACUAAAAUUAUAGUCAAAGGCAGUUCUUCAAGAAAAAGGCACGUUGAUCAAAAUAUUGACUAAUAUGAAGCUUUAAUGAAGUCUAAAUUUUAAAGUUUCUAGGGAUGAUCUAAAAGUACCCACAGUUAAAGGAUUAAGAAAAGAGGUCGCAAGAAUUCUCCGAACCCCUGUCACGAAUUCAGAAUCAGAAGCGAGAUAUCUCUCGGAGCGGUGGAAGAAAAAAUUCUCUUCCACAAAGGGAAAGAACAUUGGCCAGGAAUCAAAUCGUGGAAACGGAUCUCGCGCGAUGGCAAUCCAUCAAACGGCGGAGAGAAGAGAGAGAGAGAGGCCGCCUACCGUUACGUAGCAUUCCAAAGGGAGUGUAGCAGCGGUAUCUGCGAAGAUGGAGGCCCGAUACGCACCCGAUAAUACCGAAGGAUGAAUCAUCGGACGGUGGAGGAAGUGGCCGCGGUGAAAAUGUCCGGUUUAGGGGAAGGGGCGGGGGGUGGCGAAACUCUUUCGUGGUCGCGCUAACGAAGAGGGUUGCCGGGUGCCGAUAGACGAUCUGAGCACGGCUGCUACGUCUCGGAUCGAGCAUCGCAUCUGCCAUUAGCAUUCGGCUCCAACCUCUCCUCUCGCCUCGAUGGUGCGACGUCCGCUGUUUAGAUUCGAUCCUCGGCCGGCUAGUCGUGUGCACGAUUCCAUCAAAACGUACCAGCUGAUCAGGAUGCGCUCACUCGUCCACCACGGUUAAUUUAUCUCGUCCCCUCCUCCUGGCCUCUGCCUUCUGCCUUCUGCCGGACGGCUACCGCCCUCUAUUUCCGCCCCGGGAUCGAGAUAUCGGAUCGAUGCUUUCUCGUUUUCGAGAGAGAGAGAGAGAGACGAGUGGAAGGAGAAUUCGUGAUUUUUAACGAGAGGAGAAUCGAUUAAGACUUCUUUUUUUUUUUUUUAUUGAGUCAUCGAAUCGAGUCCUCGUUGAUGAGAAGAGACAAACUUGGAGUCUUAACUAAAUUGAUGAGAUAUGUGUUUCUAAUGGAGAAUCAGAUUUAUUCUUUUUAUUUUUUUUUUAUCAGAAGAGUAUGCCGUUCGAAAAAUAAUUGGCCAAGAUCGAAUCACUUGACACUUGAAGAAGACAAAUUCGAGCAAAGUGUUAACCGAAUUGAUAAAAUUAUUGACAUUUUAUAAUAUAGUAAUCCGAAUCGAAACGAAGAUUUUUCAACGUUUACGCUCGGUCGAUAUAGAGGAAAUUCACUUAUAAAUUUUUAAAUCAUUCUUUUUCAUUCACUAUAUAAUCUAUAUAAUCUCGUCUGAAGAUAUUACUAUCAGAAUAAUAAGUAUAAAUAGAAACUUUUUUUUAUUCCUUGAAUAAUUUCGUAUAAAUUUUUUUUCGCGCGACUUUUUAUUUACUUGCUAUCUAACCUGCUUCUCCAAUCGCGAAUCAGGAUAAUAAUAUAAAUUUUUUCCUCGAAUACUUCAUCGAUUUCGCUAAACAAAAUGUAAGAAAAAAUUCUCUCCCUCUCUCUCUCUCUCUUGAAAAACAACUGGAUGCUUGAAACGAAAGUUGAGAGAAGAGGUUAGAAACGCGGAGCAACACGUGUGCGCGUGGAAAACGUUCCAUUAACGCGAUCCACGCGGCGCGGCUCGGCAUAAAACCACGCCACGACGAGGCCCCGGGUCGAAGUUGCAUCGAUGCGUGGCUCGGUGAAACAGUAUAUCCAUAAUGCAUCUACCACGUCCCGAGCAACUUCCAUCUCGCGACCCGCGCCACGGAUACCCGUCUCUCGAUUCCACCUCGAAUCGAGUUUUACACACACACAUCACACACGCAUGCACGUAACGUUUACACUUACACGUUCCUCGUGCCCCGAUAAAAGCCUCGUUGCGCGCUAAUAAACGCGAGGGGCAACGAUCAGAGCCUCCUCAACGUCCGCCUCGGAUCCGUCGAUGUCGAUGCCGAUUCGACGAGCCCUUAAUGGUACGUGGAAACGAUUUGGAUCGGCGAUCCAAAGCGCAAGUUGAUUUAAUAACGAAACGCCGCUUGUCUGGGGAUGUGGGAGGGAAUAUAUAUGUAUGUAUAUAUAAUGUUGAGAUAGAUUUUAUUUUAUUCUCAGGUGAAGUCUCGAAAGAAGAGGGAGUUUGAGAGAAAUUGUGGAAACUCUGCUCGUGCGAAAUUGGUUACAGCGGUGUUUGAGGAUUGGAAAAUUGAAGAAUUUCUUGGAGUGAAGUUAUUUUACUUUAGAUGGUGAUAAGUGAUAAUGGAGAAAUCUUGUGAUCGAGAAAUCAAUGAUUCGUUUCGAGCGAAAAUUAUUUUAAUAGAAUUGCAUCUAUUUAUGGGAAGUAAUACGAAAUUUCCAUCGAAAAGGAAGUUUA